RNAcentral lists this ribosomal RNA (407 nucleotides) under Verrucomicrobiota bacterium. RNAcentral describes it as "Verrucomicrobia bacterium partial 16S ribosomal RNA". It matches the Rfam family "Bacterial small subunit ribosomal RNA", at positions 355 to 776 of the family's 1533-position model. The record is from RNAcentral. Lineage: Bacteria; Pseudomonadati; Verrucomicrobiota.
UGGGGAAUAUUGGACAAUGGAGGAAACUCUGAUCCAGCAAUUCUGUGUGUGUGAAGAAGGUUUUAGGACUGUAAAACACUUUUAGUAGGGAAGAAAAAAAUGACGGUACCUACAGAAGAAGCAACGGCUAAAUACAUGCCAGCAGCCGCGGUAAUACGUAUGUUGCGAGCGUUAUCCGGAAUUAUUGGGCUUAAAGGGCAUCUAGGCGGUAAGACAAGUUGAAGGUGAAAACCUGUGGCUCAACCAUAGGCUUGCCUACAAAACUGUUGAACUAGAGUACUGGAAAGGUGGGUGGAACUACACGAGUAGAGGUGAAAUUCGUAGAUAUGUGUAGGAAUGCCGAUGAUGAAGAUAACUCACUGGACAGAAACUGACGCUGAAGUGCGAAAGCUAGGGGAGCAAACAGG